AGUGAACGCUGGCGGUAGGCCUAACACAUGCAAGUCGAACGGCAGCACAGGAGAGCUUGCUCUCUGGGUGGCGAGUGGCGGACGGGUGAGGAAUGCAUCGGAAUCUGCCCAGUCGUGGGGGAUAACGUAGGGAAACUUACGCUAAUACCGCAUACGACCUUCGGGUGAAAGAGGGGGAUCGCAAGACCUCUCGCGAUUGGAUGAGCCGAUGUCGGAUUAGCUAGUUGGCGGGGUAAUGGCCCACCAAGGCGACGAUCCGUAGCUGGUCUGAGAGGAUGAUCAGCCACACUGGAACUGAGACACGGUCCAGACUCCUACGGGAGGCAGCAGUGGGGAAUAUUGGACAAUGGGCGCAAGCCUGAUCCAGCCAUACCGCGUGGGUGAAGAAGGCCUUCGGGUUGUAAAGCCCUUUUGUUGGGAAAGAAAUCUUUCAGGCUAAUACCCUGGGAGGAUGACGGUACCCAAAGAAUAAGCACCGGCUAACUUCGUG
Molecule: ribosomal RNA, 490 nt
Filed under: uncultured bacterium
Lineage: Bacteria
Description: partial 16S ribosomal RNA
Rfam family: Bacterial small subunit ribosomal RNA
Source: RNAcentral